AGGAAUUGACGGAAGGGCACCACCAGGAGUGGAGCCUGCGGCUUAAUUUGACUCAACACGGGAAAACUCACCCGGGCCGGACACUGUGAGGAUUGACAGAUUGAUAGCUCUUUCUUGAUUUGGUGGUUGGUGGUGCAUGGCCGUUCUUAGUUGGUGGAGCGAUUUGUCUGGUUAAUUCCGAUAACGAACGAGACUCCAGCCUGCUAAUUAGUGCAUUUGUCCACUGCACCAGCCGAGCGGCGCAGUGUCAACUGCUCUGGCUCAGUGCAGGAACCGGCGCGUUUGUGCAUCCUGCGUGGUCGCACUGCCUCGUGUGGUGUGGCUGUGUGGGGCUAUGCGCGGCGUGUUAGGCCUGCAUGUUGUGCCUGGGGCGGAUGGCACCACGUUAGCUAGCAGGUGCGGCGCGAAUGCUUACUUCUUAGAGGGACACGCGGGAGAAGCCGCMCGAAAUARAGCAAUAACAGGUCUGUGAUGCCCUUAGAUGUCCGGGGCCGCACGCGCGCUACAAUGGCGGUGUCAACGAGUCAGACCUUCUGGCCUGAAAAGGUUGGGCAAACUGGUCAAUCACCGUCAUGACAGGGAUCGGGGCUUGGAAUUGUUCCCCGUGAACGAGGAAUUCCUAGUAAGUGCAAGUCAUAAGCUUGCGCUGAUUACGUCCCUGCCCUUUGUACACACCGCCCGUCGCUACUACCGAUUGAAUGGUUUAGUAAGGUCCUUGGAUUGGUGCCAUUUAGGUUCCGCCGAAAGGUGCGUAUCUAGCCGGCGCCGAGAAGACGACCAAACUUGAUCAUUUAGAGGAAGUAAAAGUCGUAACAAGGUUUC
Molecule: ribosomal RNA, 822 nt
Filed under: Rodentolepis nana
Lineage: Eukaryota; Metazoa; Platyhelminthes; Cestoda; Cyclophyllidea; Hymenolepididae
Description: SSU rRNA
Rfam family: Eukaryotic small subunit ribosomal RNA
Source: RNAcentral